Molecule: ribosomal RNA, 468 nt
Filed under: uncultured bacterium
Lineage: Bacteria
Description: partial 16S ribosomal RNA
Rfam family: Bacterial small subunit ribosomal RNA
Source: RNAcentral
GACGAACGCUGGCGGCGUGCUUAACACAUGCAAGUCGAACGGAAAGGCCCUGCUUUUGUGGGGUGCUCGAGUGGCGAACGGGUGAGUAACACGUGAGUAACCUGCCCUUGACUUUGGGAUAACUUCAGGAAACUGGGGCUAAUACCGGAUAGGAGCUCCUGCUGCAUGGUGGGGGUUGGAAAGUUUCGGCGGUUGGGGAUGGACUCGCGGCUUAUCAGCUUGUUGGUGGGGUAGUGGCUUACCAAGGCUUUGACGGGUAGCCGGCCUGAGAGGGUGACCGGCCAAAUUGGGACUGAGAUACGGCCCAGACUCCUACGGGAGGCAGCAGUGGGGAAUAUUGCACAAUGGGCGGAAGCAUGAUGCAGCAACGCCGCGUGCGGGAUGACGGCAUUCGGGUUGUAAACCGCUUUCGCCUGUGACGAAGCGUGAGUGACGGUAAUGGGUAAAGAAGCACCGGCUAACUACGUG